GACGAACGCUGGCGGCGUGCUUAACACAUGCAAGUCGAACGGUGAAGGGACUGGUUUUGCUGGUCCUGGAUGAGUGGCGAACGGGUGAGUAACACGUGAGUAACCUGCCCCCUUCUUCUGGAUAACCGCAUGAAAGUGUGGCUAAUACGGGAUAUUCUGGGUCUGUCGCAUGGUGGGCCUGGGAAAGAUUGCGCCUUUUUUGGUGUUUUUGGUGGGGGAUGGGCUCGCGGCCUAUCAGCUUGUUGGUGGGGUGAUGGCCUACCAAGGCGGUGACGGGUAGCCGGCCUGAGAGGGUGGACGGUCACACUGGGACUGAGACACGGCCCAGACUCCUACGGGAGGCAGCAGUGGGGAAUAGUGCACAAUGGGCGCAAGCCUGAUGCAGCGACGCCGCGUGAGGGAUGGAGGCCGUCGGGUUGUGAACCUCUUUCGCCAGUGAAGCAGGCCUGCCUCUUUUUGUGGGUGGGUUGACGGUAGCUGGAUAAGAAGCGCCGGCUAACUACGUG
This 506-nucleotide ribosomal RNA is filed under the name uncultured bacterium. RNAcentral's name for it is "partial 16S ribosomal RNA". It matches the Rfam family "Bacterial small subunit ribosomal RNA", at positions 28 to 507 of the family's 1533-position model. The record is from RNAcentral.